Perca fluviatilis (European perch) is the source of this 331-nucleotide long non-coding RNA. RefSeq lists it as uncharacterized. Lineage: Eukaryota; Metazoa; Chordata; Actinopteri; Perciformes; Percidae. The transcript is spliced from 3 exons. The record is from RefSeq and is a predicted model, not a curated record.
CUUCGAAGCGCAGUGGCUCUGCACCAGGCCAGCAAGCAGCUGAGAGAUUGUUCAUGGUUCAUGGCCAGGCUGCCCAAAGACCUGAUCUUAACAGGAUUUCUGAGUGUGUUGCACUCAGACUCUACAAAGAGUUCCGGGAAGCCAGAAAUAGGCCAAAGGACAACAAAGGGAAAACAUUUGCAAUACCUCAGUCAAUUGUCAUGACUUACAGUCAUAUCAAACAGCUAAUAGAGGACUGCAAAGACAUACUGGACAACACCAACAUUUUACUUGUGACUAUAAACAACACCACAGUGUCCUCCUGGCUGCAGGAUCGGCAGAAGAGAACCCG